This 574-nucleotide small RNA is filed under the name Pongo abelii (Sumatran orangutan). RNAcentral's name for it is "processed transcript". The record is from RNAcentral. Lineage: Eukaryota; Metazoa; Chordata; Mammalia; Primates; Hominidae.
ACGUCGACGCGGGGCUUUUCUUUAGCCGGGUCCCGCUAACUCGGCUACGGUGUUCCUGCGUCUUUGGUCAGGCUGCUCCUUGGCUGAGAGGGCAGUCGUCGCGGACCCACGCGGUUAGCAGGGCUUAGUGCUCGGGCAGGCCGCCUUCACUUCCCUCCCGGCUUUUCCUCCCGACUUAUCCACUUUAGGGGCGUCUCGGAGUGGCGGAGGCCCCCGGGGAAGAGCGGGGUGCCGGUGUCCGCUCCGGGCUCGAAUGGGAAGUGGCGGGAGGAGCGACCCGGGAUGUUCAGUCUGAUGGCCAGUUGCUGCGGCUGGUUCAAGAGGUGGCGGGAGCCCGUCAGGUUGGAGUCUCAUCGGUUUUAGUUUCUUCAUUUUCUGCAGAAAGGUGACUCUUUUGAUGGUGGGACUUGAUAAUGCUGGUAAAACCGCAACAGCAAAGGGAAUCCAAGGAGAGAUGGGGUCUCCCUAUGUUGCCCAAGCUGGUCUGGAAUGCCUAGCCUCAAGCUAUUCUUCUGCCUUGGCCUCCAAGAGUGCUGGGAUUACAGGCAUGAGCCACCACGCCCAGCCCGGCCAG